GAUGAAGAACGCAGCGAAAUGCGAUAAGUAGUGUGAAUUGCAGAAUUCAGUGAAUCAUCGAAUCUUUGAACGCACAUUGCGCCCCUUGGUAUUCCAUGGGGCAUGCCUGUUCGAGCGUCAUUUGUACCUUCAAGCUUUGCUUGGUGUUGGGUGUUUGUCUCGCCUUUGCGUGUAGACUCGCCUUAAAAUAAUUGGCAGCCGGCGUAUUGAUUUCGGAGCGCAGUACAUCUCGCGCUUUGCACUCAGAACGACAGCGUCCAAAAGUACAUUUUACACUCUUGACCUCGGAUCAGGUAGGGAUACCCGCUGAACUUAAGCAUAUCAAUAAGCGGAGGA
RNAcentral lists this unclassified non-coding RNA (336 nucleotides) under soil metagenome. RNAcentral describes it as "partial contains 5.8S ribosomal RNA, internal transcribed spacer 2, and large subunit ribosomal RNA". The stretch from base 1 to 120 matches the Rfam family "5.8S ribosomal RNA", at positions 35 to 154 of the family's 154-position model. The record is from RNAcentral.